This 271-nucleotide long non-coding RNA is filed under the name Linum usitatissimum (flax). RNAcentral's name for it is "long non-coding RNA (LUSI_LNC007672)". The record is from RNAcentral. Lineage: Eukaryota; Viridiplantae; Streptophyta; Magnoliopsida; Malpighiales; Linaceae.
CCACCGCCGCCGCAACCUCCUUCAUGCUACUCGACUCCUCCGCGGCCGACACUAGUCCGCCGCCGUCGUCGCAGCUCAACCUCUCUGCGGGCCCCACAACUGCAAACUUCAUCUUCCCGUUCAACCAACAGUACCAACAAAUGACCCAACAGUACCAUCAAAUGACGUUCAACUCGACCACGAGCACGACCACUCCCGCGGCACAUCACUAUCCAACGCUGAAUUCCUCAUCAAUGCACCGAACCACAUCCGCGCUGGCAAGAUUCAACAU